This 1287-nucleotide ribosomal RNA is filed under the name Mediterraneibacter torques. RNAcentral's name for it is "bacterial LSU rRNA". It matches the Rfam family "Bacterial large subunit ribosomal RNA", at positions 698 to 2011 of the family's 2925-position model. Lineage: Bacteria; Bacillati; Bacillota; Clostridia; Lachnospirales; Lachnospiraceae. The record is from RNAcentral.
AGUCAGUAGGAGUAGACCCGAAACCGGGUGAUCUACCCAUGUCCAGGAUGAAGCUGCCGUAAGAGGCAGUGGAGGUCCGGACCCACAUCCGUUGAAAAGGGUGGGGAUGAGGUGUGGGUAGGGGAGAAAUUCCAAUCGAACCCGGAGAUAGCUGGUUCUCCUCGAAAUAGCUUUAGGGCUAGCCUCGGUCAUGAGUCUUGUGGAGGUAGAGCACUGAAUUUCCUAGGGGGCGUCAAAGCCUACCGAAGAAUAUCAAACUCCGAAUGCCAUGUAGACAGGACCGGGAGUCAGACUGCACGAGAUAAGUUGGGCAGUCAAAAGGGAAAGAGCCCAGACCUUCAGUUAAGGUCCCAAAGUGUACGUUAAGUGGAAAAGGAUGUGGGGUCUCGAAGACAACCAGGAUGUUGGCUCAGAAGCAGCCAUUCAUUCAAAGAGUGCGUAAUAGCUCACUGGUCGAGAGGCCCUGCGCCGAAAAUGUCCGGGGCUGAAACGUACCACCGAAACUAAGGGAUCCGAAAGGAUCGGUAGAGGAGCAUUGCAUGCGGAACGAAGCAGUACCGUAAGGAGCUGUGGACUGCAUGGAAGAGAGAAUGCCGGAAUGAGUAGCGAGAUAAAGGUGGGAAUCCUUUAGGCCGAAUAUCCAAGGUUUCCAGGGUAAAGCUGAUCUGCCCUGGGUAAGUCGGGGCCUAAGGCGAGGACGAGAGUCGUAGCCGAUGGACAACAGGUGGAGAUUCCUGUACUGCGGUAUGACAGAACUGUGGGGACACGUAAGGAAAGCGGAAGCCGGGAAUGGAAAGCCCGGUGCAAGCAGGGUACCAGACACUCAGGCAAAUCCGGGUGUCAAUGGGAAGCUGUGAUGCGGAGCGAAAUACAAGUAGCGAAGUCCGUGAGCCAUGCGUCAAGAAAAGCCGCUAUUGUUUAUACCGUACCCGUACCGUAAACCGACACAGGUGGAUGAGGAGAGAAUCCUAAGGCCGGCGGAAGAAGCAUUGUCAAGGAACUCGGCAAAAUGACCCCGUAACUUCGGGAGAAGGGGUGCCACUGAGAAGUGGCCGCAGAGAAUAGGCUCAAGCAACUGUUUAGCAAAAACACAGGUCUAUGCGAAACCGAAAGGUGAGGUAUAUGGGCUGACGCCUGCCCGGUGCUGGAAGGUUAAGAGGAGAGGUUAGCGCAAGCGAAGCUUUGAAUUUAAGCCCCAGUAAACGGCGGCCGUAACUAUAACGGUCCUAAGGUAGCGAAAUUCCUUGUCGGGUAAGUUCCGACCCGCACGAAAGGCGUAAUGAUUUG